Molecule: long non-coding RNA, 1401 nt
Organism: Sinocyclocheilus anshuiensis
Lineage: Eukaryota; Metazoa; Chordata; Actinopteri; Cypriniformes; Cyprinidae
Exons: 2
Source: RefSeq, a predicted model, not a curated record
AGAAAAAGUACGUGAAAUUCAGGAGAAACUUGAAGCUUUCAUUGAAGCCCUUCACAAAGAGAAAUAGAGCAGAUCAUCUUGUUUCUGGACAGUCAUGCCCUUACAGAAGAACAUGCACUGAUUAAAUACAACAUAAUUUUUGCUCUUUGCCCUUCGUAAAUGACCCUGCUUCUCAUCCUCUCUUUUUUUAAUGUAUCCUGCUUCAGCUUUCAAUCUUCUCACACACAAGCACACACGCACACUUCCCCCUUAAAAACAGUGAAAGUAAGCAAAGUGGUUUACAUUUGCUGCAUAUUUAAUCACUGUUGGAGAACAAGCACUUGCGCAACUAGAGAAUGGUACGUGUCAGAGUGCCAUGCUUUAUUCUUUCUUCCUCCAGCGCUUAAAAGCCACCAAUGUGUUCACCAGACAUGUUUUCCCGAGAAUCCAGUCAGACAGACAUGCACAUACAUCAUCUCCCAAUCCCUCGUUCCCAAUAAAAUACUUUGUCCGGGUCUCUCUUUCCCCUGACUGUCUUUAUUAAUUAAGGUGAUGUUUAAAAAAUGUAUUGAUUGACCUUGCUAUGAGUAGAGAAAAUAUUCAAAAAUGUCUUGUCACCAAUUGCCGCCUUCAUUCAUAUUUUGGAGCUGUGAUUUCACCACAUUUAUACAACAUCUCUCUUAUGACAUAUUCACAGUUAGUGCAAUCACAGUUUAAAUUAUACGUCUUAACAUCUUAUCAGUAGACCACCAUCUAAAUCCUUUGUAAUUAUUUUGUAGAAUCUGCAAUCGAUAUAUGCAGUUGUUUGUACAGUAGAUCUCAUCUGCACCUCAUUUGCUUGUAGUCACACUUAGCUCAGUUGAAUAUACUCAAGAAACAGCUAUGAGGCUUGGUCUUGAAGAUGCAGAACAUUUCUUUAUAAGGAGACCAGAAUACACCAUCUGUUCACACAGGUGGAUGAAAAUGCAUUGGCAUAUCCUGUUUGUUACUUUGGCCCUGCACACCUUUUCACUUUAUUUUGCUUUAUUUUAUGACUGUUUACUUUGAGAGAUUCAAAUGGUUCUGAGUUUCAUCUGUCUUCUUCAGCUUUAGUGCACUUUUAAUUAUUUGCUUGCACAUUUGAUAUUUCGCGCCCUAGAAUUUGUGUGGUCUGAUUAUCCACAUUACACAUGUCCUGAUAAUUUUGAGUGUAAGGGACACCACACCUUUGUUCCUGGUUGCUCAUAAAUGUAAAUGGGUAAAUAUACAUGUUCUUGUAAAGUAUCUAAGGUCAUUGAAAUCAUGGAUCUGAGUGUGGUGCUUGUAACAGAAUAUCUGUCGGUUGAUUUAAGAAUGUUUCCACUUUUUGUUGUAGAUUGUAAUGUUUGCAUGUUGUACCCCAUCAGAUGUGGUUUAUUUAUUAAAUUGGUGUUUAAAAAAAAA